GAUGAACGCUAGCGGCAGGCUUAAUACAUGCAAGUCGAGGGGCAGCACGAAUAGCAAUAUUUGGGUGGCGACCGGCAAACGGGUGCGGAACACGUACGCAACCUUCCCAAAACUGGUGAAUAGCCCUCCGAAAGGAGGAUUAAUACACCGUACCAUAAUGAGGUGGCAUCACUUUAUUAUUAUAGGCAGCAAUGUCGGUUUUGGAUGGGCGUGCGCCUGAUUAGGUAGUUGGCGGGGUAACGGCCCACCAAGCCUUCGAUCAGUAACUGGUGUGAGAGCACGACCAGUCACACGGGCACUGAGACACGGGCCCGACUCCUACGGGAGGCAGCAGUAAGGAAUAUUGGUCAAUGGACGCAAGUCUGAACCAGCCAUGCCGCGUGCAGGAUGAAGGCCCUCUGGGUUGUAAACUGCUUUUAUCUGGGACGAAAAACGGGCUUUCUAGCUCACUUGACGGUACCAGAGGAAUAAGCACCGGCUAACUCCGUGCCAGCAGCCGCGGUAAUACGGAGGGUGCAAGCGUUAUCCGGAUUUACUGGGUUUAAAGGGUGCGUAGGUGGGUAGGUAAGUCAGUGGUGAAAUCUUCAAGCUUAACUUGGAAACUGCCAUUGAUACUAUUUAUCUUGAAUAUCCUGGAGGUAAGCGGAAUAUGUCAUGUAGCGGUGAAAUGCUUAGAUAUGACAUAGAACACCCAUUGCGAAGGCAGCUUACUACGGGAUUAUUGACACUGAGGCACGAAAGCGUGGGGAUCAAACAGGAUUAGAUACCCUGGUAGUCCACGCCCUAAACGAUGGAUACUCGACAUCAGCGAUACACUGUUGGUGUCUGAGCGAAAGCAUUAAGUAUCCCACCUGGGAAGUACGAUCGCAAGAUUG
Molecule: ribosomal RNA, 875 nt
Filed under: uncultured bacterium
Lineage: Bacteria
Description: bacterial SSU rRNA
Rfam family: Bacterial small subunit ribosomal RNA
Source: RNAcentral